GGCCAAAUGAUAUUUGUUGGAACGGUUAAAAGAGUAUGUGAUGAAUGGGUUAUUAUGUGGUAAGAUAUGGUAUGUUUGAGAUGGUAUUGAUAGACAAUAACUUGAUUGAAUUGAUAGGUUGAAUUGAUGAUAUGUUUGGACAUUAAAUUGUAUAUACUUGUGGUACCAAUGAGGGUCCAUUGGUUAGGCACUUAUUAGGUUUGUUUUG
RNAcentral lists this long non-coding RNA (208 nucleotides) under Gossypium barbadense (sea-island cotton). RNAcentral's name for it is "long non-coding RNA (GBAR_LNC014117)". Lineage: Eukaryota; Viridiplantae; Streptophyta; Magnoliopsida; Malvales; Malvaceae. The record is from RNAcentral.